AUUGAACGCUGGCGGAAUGCUUUACACAUGCAAGUCGAACCGCAGCACGGGGGCAGUCCUGGUGGCGAGUGGCGAACGGGUGAGUAAUACAUCGGAACGUGCCCGGUCGUGGGGGAUAACGUAGCGAAAGUUACGCUAAUACCGCAUACGAUCUGAGGAUGAAAGCGGGGGACCUUCGGGCCUCGCGCGAUCGGAGCGGCCGAUGUCAGAUUAGGUAGUUGGUGGGGUAAAGGCCUACCAAGCCGACGAUCUGUAGCUGGUCUGAGAGGACGACCAGCCACACUGGGACUGAGACACGGCCCAGACUCCUACGGGAGGCAGCAGUGGGGAAUUUUGGACAAUGGGCGCAAGCCUGAUCCAGCCAUUCCGCGUGCAGGACGAAGGCCUUCGGGUUGUAAACUGCUUUUGUACGGAACGAAAAGGCUCUGGCUAAUACCUGGGGCUCAUGACGGUCCCGUAAGAAUAAGCACCGGCUAACUACGUG
Molecule: ribosomal RNA, 484 nt
Filed under: uncultured bacterium
Lineage: Bacteria
Description: partial 16S ribosomal RNA
Rfam family: Bacterial small subunit ribosomal RNA
Source: RNAcentral